RNAcentral lists this long non-coding RNA (16391 nucleotides) under Equus caballus (horse). Its description in RNAcentral is "lncRNA (ENSECAG00000049573.1)". The stretch from base 3057 to 3142 matches the Rfam family "mir-365 microRNA precursor family". The record is from RNAcentral. Lineage: Eukaryota; Metazoa; Chordata; Mammalia; Perissodactyla; Equidae.
CUGCAAUGAAACUAAUACUUCCUUAAAAAUAAAACAUGCGUUUGUGACUCAAACCAAUGAGAGUUGGAAAAGUCCCUACAAGGGAGCACUCCCUCUAUUUCUAGCUUCCCAGCACAACCUCUCCUCCCCCCACCUUAUAUUAAGAACAGAAAAGAGAGUCUUGCCGGAUAAACGUACACUUCCUAGCAGGAGAUCUGCUCCCCCUGGUUUAAUUGGGAUUGAGGAGUAAAUACGGCUAUUUUAGGCAGGAGGAUAGAAAUUAGUUUGAUGAAGAGUAAAGCGAACUCAUGCCUUAGAAUCACUUGCCAGAAAAGAAGUGUAUACACAAACAGAAUAAAACAUUGUUGAUCAGAGUUCAUUUCAGCUAGAAGUUUCUUUCCUGCCCAGCGUCCCAAACUCGGGAAAAUGUAAAAAGUUCUUUUGGCUUCUUGUAUUUGGAGCAAGGUGAAAAUAAACCCCCAGGAAAAACACAGACACAAACAUGAUAGAAACGACCCGAGACUUUUCAGGCCUACUGGCCACGCAGGCUUUUUGGACAAAAGCGUGGAUGUUGGAGAGAGUUUGGAAGGAACGGACUUUGGGGUCCCUUCGUCCCCCGGAGCUCCCCAGCCCUCCUCGUGGUCUCUUUUCAAAGCAGCCACUCAUGGGAUGCUGUGUUCUCAGGGUCCUUGGUUGUAGGGGGCAUGAGCACAGAUUUACAAAGCUUUAAGGUUUCUGAUUUUACCUCAUCUUCCUUAUAGAAAACAUCUGAGCUUAAGGAACCACAGAGCAAACUUUCUCAGUGCCCCUGCAUGGCUACACCACCACGUGAAAGAGAGACACACCUAGAAAAUCAAAACUGGUGUUGGUGUCACAAGAAAGCCAUUUAAAAAAUGCGUUGGGGAGAGGGGGGCCGAUUUCGCCUUUCCUGGACGAAUUGGCCCCGGCAGGGAAAGGAGUGCUGGCUGCAGCUGGAAGUUCGCUGUGCGGCCUGGGGUGGAACUUUCUCGGAGACGUGCAGAGAACUGGGCUCUGUCGGGAUCAUGCAUGAGAUCGGCACCCAGGCCUGUUGACAUCUCUGCCAGAGACAGCCUGGACCGCUGCCAGCCCAGGCCUGAACGUGGCCUUAGAGCCACCCCCACAGCCCCAACAAGCCCCAGACAGGUGCCCAAGGGUCUCUCCUCCUGGAGCCCGGCCCACAGCAUGUCUUGGCUAGAAGGGGGAUGUUUGGCUCCCGUGGCAGCCUCCCCAGAGACGCGGCAGGGUUUACUAUCCCGGUUACCCUGUGGGCUCUGGUGAGGAGGAACCCCACUUUGCUAAGCAGUGCCUCCCAGAUGCUCCGAGGGAGACAGAUGUGGCCGUCCUGCGAGCUCAGAGCAGAUCCGCCUGUGCAAGGGCAGAUGUGAGUCUAGAAGGCUCUGGAGCAGAGCUGUACAUUUGCAGCCCAGGCUAGAGCUCUCUCCGCUCUCCAACAACAGGGCUGCGAUCCCUCCUUUUGGGAUGGGCCGAGGGGGCGUGGCCCGGGGCCAGCAACAGAGCACGUACACAUCGGAGCUCCUGUGUGCAACUCCCCUGAGUGUGUCUGCGCCUCUUUCCAGCCAGCGGGGCUCCCACCCACCCAGCCAGGGAGCUGAGCCCUCUUCUGUCAUCAGGCAGUGAGGAAAACCAGGGCCAGGAGGGCAGGGGUGCAGCCUUGAAGUGGGAGAAGGCAUGGAGGCCAUCAGAGGGCCUGCUGGGCAGAUGAGGGGACCUGCAUCCGAGCCACCCUGGGGGGCGGCCGGAGAGAGGACGGGGUGGGCAUUCGGGGUAGCAUGCAGCCAGCAGCCGGCUCUGCCCCAGCCCCAGAAUGUGCCCGCUCAGGGAAGCUGCGCCCAGCCCUGAGUCAGCCGAUCCCACGGGACUCCCACUUGGCCCCAAUAACUGGACUCCAGGCCACCAGAACGCCUCGUGGGUUCCUGAUUGUAUCAGAAUGGCAUUAAAAGGUCCAGACCGGGCACUCGUAGGCCAUGCCAUAUUUAGCCUCAGGUUCACCCGGAGAAUAUUUUAGGUGCUGCUUGAAAGAGGAGAUCUCGGCCCAUUGCCGGCUGUCACAUGGCGAGUGUAGACUCGCUCCCUCGCAGGCCUGGUGGAGGUGGCUGGGUGCUCACUGGCACAGAUGCCCGCAGUCCCUGCCAGAGCUUUGGGGCCAUGAGACAGGUGCCAAGGAGCCAGCGAGUGCCUGGGUAGCCGGUUCUGUGCCGGGAAGGCUGUUCACCCCGUUUUCGUCCUGACGGCGAUAAGCUCGCUCCAUUCACAGGACUCACAGAGGCUGUUUCAGGCCCUCUCUCCUCUCGAUGGCCCAGUGCGAUAUGCCAGCUUGCUGAGUGAGCAGCUUCCUCCUCCGGUGUCAGCAACUGCGGAGGGGUUAACCCUUUCAAGGCCCGGGGUGCUGGCUGGCAUGGGGGUCCCGCCUCCAGGGCCCUUGAAGGCCACAUGCCAGGGGGAGCCACUGCCCUGGAUGCCUUAAUCCUCCAUCGUUAGUGGCCGGACCAGAGAGAGGGCACCCUGGACCUUAACCGUGAUUUCCUCCUUUGGCCCCAGCAGCAGCACUAACCACCAGGCUGCCCUACCCAAACCUUCGCCCUUCAGCCGUGGAAACAGCUGCUUGCUUUGCAGAUACUUUCCCCUGGGUUUCCAGGUUCAUUAACUUUCCUGCAUUCCGGAGGAGGAGGUAUUGAUGGAUUCCGGGUCCCCUUAGAUCAUUAAUGAGAGUUCGGAAUCAUCGUUCGGGGUCUUGGGGAAAUGUCCCAGGUCCCUAAGAGUUGCCUGGUGUUAGGGAAUCAGCCUUGGAAGCUGGUUUUCCAGGUCUUGGUUGUCUUGGCACAGCGGAGGCGGCCGUAUCAAAGCCACUGUGUGGAGACACAUUGAGCCAAUGAUCAGCCAGUAAUUCUCAGCCUUGGGGGAGCCUGGUGGGGCCGCCAUACACUGUGAUAGCAUUGCUUGGUUUAAAGGUUCCUCUAACUUUGCGCACUUUUUCCUUUUUAGUUUUGGCUCUUGGGACUCUGAGAGCCACCCCUUCCUGCCCGGCUGGCUCGUUACCGCAGGGAAAAUGAGGGACUUUUGGGGGCAGAUGUGUUUCCAUUCCACUAUCAUAAUGCCCCUAAAAAUCCUUAUUGCUCUUGCAGUAUUCUUCGGGGGUCCCUGGGCCAGCCGGGCGCGCGGGGAAGACGGCAGCUCUGAGUGCCUCCAGCAACUAGAAGAAGAGAGAAAGAAGUUCCCCCACAUUCUCCCUUCUGGUCCCGGGUCCAUCUCCCCUCAGAGCUCAGAACUGUUCACUGCCCGAAAAGUAAAAAGACACCAUCCACAGACACUGGUGGCUCAACAUGCCUUUUGCCCUCCGGGGGCAGAAUGUUGGAGAUCAGGCCUGGGAACAGCAGGGCAGCUGUGGCUGCUGUCAGCGUUUGCUCUGGGGGUUUGUCGGGGGAGGUGGGGAAAGUGGAACAAGUGUUACCUGUUUGACGAGGCAGGCGUAUUUCACCGUUCAGCCUGGUCCUUCCAGUGGGGCCUCUGGGAUCCUCACCUUGGCAGGGGGCCCUGGGCAGUCCUGGCUUGCUCACCUGCUCCUGAGACAGGCCACUUUCCCACUCUCUGCCUCGGUUUCCCUGUCUGCCAAGGGAGGGGCAGCACCCCAUGCUCUUGGCCUCAAAGGGUUCUUGGUUGUACCCAACAUUAUAAUGAGCUCAAGUGAUACGCAAGCUCUGAAGCUGCUUGGAAAAUGGGGAAGUCAAGUUAUUAAACAUGGGAGGUGUUGGUGCUAAUGUUUACUAAUACACACCUAACGUGCUGAGACAGUUCAGACAGGAGGGGAGACUGUCGCCCCACAGUGUAAGCACCGGUUUCUGGAAUCAGCCAGUCAGAACUCUGAGACUCUUUUGCUGUGUCACCCCAGGCAAGUGACUCAACCUCUCUGGGCCUCCAUUUCCUCACACAUGAAACCCACGUUUUGGAACAGAAGUUUGCCAAGUCUGAUAUGCACAUCUACUCAAUGAGUUUAAGUGGUACCUGGCUAAAGAUGGAAAUUAUUCUCAUAGGUAUUUCUUUGUACAGCUUAUCUCUAUUUAUGGCAAGCGGUUUGUUUUCGGUUUAGGGUAGGGAUAGACAGGCCCUUUUUUAUACCAAUUUAUGCAGGUAAAGAUAGAUGAGUUGCUGGAAAGAAAAGCAUUAAGCAAAUAAUAAUACAGGUGGCCUGAGGAUGGGGCAGAAAUCAAGAUGCCAGUUUGCAAAGUUUCAUAGGUCGGCUUACUUAAGAAUUCUUGUUUGUCUUGGGAUUUUUGCAUCCACAUAGUUGGCGUGGGGAGGAGAUGGGUGGGUUGCUAAUUCAAAUCUCUGGAGGGCUCCACCAUGGCAGUCUGAGUGUCACAAGUCUUCCCUUCUCGGGGGGAUGGGAGGGGGCCCACCUCUCUGCUCACCGACGCCAGGGAGACCCCUCAGACCUCCAGCCCUGCACCGACCCCUAGCUUUGACUUGUCUCAUUUUAGGAUCACGAUGACCCAGUGCCCUCCUUCCUGGCCAGGGCACCUCUCUGGGCCUCAGUUUUCUCAGUGAAAUGGGGAGAAUAACAAACUCUGUCCCAUAGCUGUGUGUGAAGAUGGAGGGGUUAACAGGGCUCCAUCGGGCGCUGAUCCUUCACAAACAGCACCCACUCGGAGGGCAGUGGGCCCCAGCGGCGCUGGACACGCGGGGGGCGCUCCUUCCACAGGCCACCCUGCGCCACCCGGCACCAGCUCCCUGCCCACCCCCUGGGAGGGUGGCUUUGCAGGGAAACAGCAGGCAGCCAGCAGGGGCGGACUCUGGUUUCACUUUCUGCUGUGUCAUGGAGUGGGGGGUGGCAUCGGGGCCCAGCUGGCCAGCUGGGGCGGGCACCGAGAGGCCAGCAGACAGCUGCUGGCCCAGCUGCCAGAGCACAAGCCGCGCCCCCCUGCAGCCUGCCAGGGUGGGGGCUGGGUCCUCGGGUGCCCCUUAAGGGCCUCUCCUCCCGCACGGUGGGGAGAACCCCAGGCGAGAAAAGCCAGGAGCGGGUGAGAUCGUUUCUUGAGCUGUGGGAUCCCCCAAAAGCAACUUCUCAAGUCACGCAGCCUUGAAGUUCUGAGAAGUGCAGCUGUGGGUUCUGGAUCAGGGUGCGCUGGCUGGACACCUGCUCCCUGCCUCCCUUCACUGGGCACAUGGUGGGUGAGGGCCUACUGUGUGCUAAGCAGUGUGCCAGGUGCCGGAGGUACAGCAGGGAGCAGGACAGCCCCUGCCCUCAUGGGGCUCCCAGUUAAGUCUGGGAGAUGGACAAAAGAGCGAGCAAGAAAGAAUCCCGCGUUAUGGGGGAAAUUCCAGCCUGAACGUCUGGUGCUAGCAUCUCAGGGCAGGGGCGUGCCUGCGUAUGCACGUAUGUGUGUCAGCAACGUGUCACCUCCUGGGACACAACGGUAGGUUAAGAAUACAGACCCAGGGGCCAGAGGUCCUGUGUUUGAAUUUCCACUGACUGGUGCGUGACCUCAGGCAAGUGGUCUCUCCUCUUUGGGCCUCAGUUUCCCCGUUUGUAGGUGCAAGAAUGAGAGUAUUUACAUGGUAGGGCUGCGGCGAGGAUGAAAUAAACGAGCGUCCGUAGAGAAUGGAGGACAGCGCCUGGCAUCGACCGUGUGCUGUGUAAGUCUUAGCUGUUCUCUGAGAAUAAUAAAUGCGCGCUCUUGUAAGAUGAAAUGCGGCCGUCACGGCGGGCUGAGCACAGCGGGAGUGCUGUGGGGUCCAUCCCCUCUGCCAUGCGCUUGCCAUGCUUUCUCAGGAGCCACAACCACCCCUCCGAUGCCCUUACCAUCUUGUUCAGAUGAGGAAACUGAGGCUCAGGCAGAUAAAGAGGCCUGUCCCAGGUCCCCAGCUGGAAAGGAGUUGGGCCACCAUGCAGGGCCGGCUUUGCAGUGGUGGGCCCUGCACUUGGUUUAAUGCUCUGCUGUUGUCUUAAAUUCUCAAUCAUUUUGGAAACAGGAGCCCCGAGUUUUCAUUUUGCAAAUUAUGGAGCCCGUCCUCCCCAGACCGGACUUAGUCCAAAGCCAUCACUCUUAACGACUCCCAUCCAUAUGUCAUACAGCCGGCUCCAGAAUUUUCCAGAUCAUCGACACAGGGCUUAUGGAGGGACUGAAAUCCUGGGAAGAAUAUGAAGCCUUUCUCCUGGGCUCAACUGCCCAAGUGCCUGUUUGUCUGUGGCCCCAGUGGAAGGCAGGCGGGGAGGGCAGGGCUGGGACUCAUUCAUUGCCAUGUCCCCAGGGCCUUGCUUGUAUUAGCUGCUCAGUUAAUAGUUGUGAAAACAGGUGAACGGGAGGCUGCUGUCUCUCAGAAACAAACCUACGUAAAUGACCCCUUCCAGGAGAGCGGGUCGUCAGGGGUGCAGUGUACACUCUGGCCGGCCCAGCAGGCUUCCGGACAACCCCUGAAGGCGUGGAGAUGCACGGCUCUCUUCCCCAUGCCCCAAACCUGUGUGCCAACACCUUUAACCGAUUACUGUUUAACAGGUUCUGGUGGGGAGCCCGGAGACAACAGAAAUAUUUAAAGACAUGCGGGCCUGGAUUCCUGAGUGCCUGGUGUUAAGAAAGAUGCAGAGUUCAGCCAAAAGAAUACGCAGGUUGUAGUUCUGGGCCAGUUCAAGUCCCAGCCCAGGGGCGGGGGCACAGUUUCUUGGACUGUUAAAUGGUAGGGUUUGGGGGCCAGCCUGGUGGUGUAGUGGUUAAGUUUGAAUGCUCCGCUUCAGCAGGUGGGGUUUCCCAAUUCGGAUCCUGGGUGUGGACCUACACAGCAGUCAUCAAGCCGUGCUGUGGCAGCAUCCUACAUACAAAAAAUAGAGAAAGAUUGGCACAGAUGUUAGCUCAGGGCCAAUCUUCCUCACCAAAAAAAAAAAAAAAAAAAAUGAUAGGGUUUGGAUUAAAGGUCCUUUUUCCUCUGAAAUUAGAGUUCUUCUACAUUCUCAAAGCUCCAAAUGAUAAAUAUGACUAAGAAGCAAAGAAUCAUCUCAAAGCCUUUAAAAUAUUUAUAACAAUAAUAAACAUUUGUAUGUUUUUGCCUGCUGAUUUCACAGGCUGUAUCUCCAUUGCUUCAGAUAACCCUGUGAAGUAGGAAUUACCCUCAUUUUCUAACAACCAUCAUAACCACCAGCAUAUAUUGAAUGCUGUAUAUGGACUAGGCACUUGACACACAGGAAGUCAUUUUAGUUGCUCAAGUGACGUAUGAGGCAGGCACUGUUAUGAGCUACUGCCUACUUAAGAAACACGCCAAAGAGAGGAACUGACUUGUCUAAGGUCACACACCCGCCAGGUGAUGAGUUGGGGUUCAAGCCUGGAUCUUCCAUCUCAGGGGUCAGCCAACUUUUUCUGGAAAGGGCCACAUACUAAAUAUUUUAGGCGUUGCAGGCCGUGCAGUCUGUGUCACAGCUGUUCCACUCUGCUGUUGUAAUAAGAAAGCAUCCACAGAUAAUACGUAAAGGAAUGGACAUAGCUGUGUGUUCCAAUAAAACUUUAUUUACAAAAACAGGAAGUGGGCCAAGUUUGGCCCACAGGUUAUGGUUUGUCCACCCUUGUGGCAGAGGCCCAAAGCUGCCUUCCAAUUAGGAAGAACAUGGCCCUGGCAGUGUGAGUCACCUGGGAGGUGACUGAGUUACAUUUCAGAGCAGAGACCGCUGGCAUGCAGGGAGAGAGUGGAGGCGAGAGAGGACAUUUCCCAGAGGCAGGAGGCUGGAGCCCAGGGCUUCCUGGCAGGAGGGGUGGGGGAAGGCAUGAUUUUUUUUUUAAACAGUUUGAUUGAGAUAUAAUUCACUUACCAUACAAUUCACCCCUUUAAAGUGCAGAGUUCAUUGGCCUUGAGUAUAUUCACAGAGUUGUGCAACUGUCAUUAUAAUCAAUUUCAGAACAUUUUCAUCACCUCAAAAAGAAACCCUGUAACCUUUACAGCAGUCACCCACCCUAAUCGUUCUGUCUCUGUAGAUUUGCCUGUUCUGGAUAUUUCAUAUACAGUCACGUGUCGCUUAACGACAGGGAUACGUUCUGAGAAAUGUGUCAUUAGGUGAUGUCAUCAUUGUUCAAACAUCACAGAGUAUAGGUACACAAACCUAGAUGGCACAGCCCACUACACACCUAGGCUCUAUGGUACUGAUCUUACAGGCCCACCAUUGCAUAUGUGGUCUGUCAUUGACCAAAACAUCCUUAUGUGGUGCAUGACCGUAAAUGGAAUCAUACAGGAUGUGGUCCUUUGUGACUGGCUGGUUUUUUUCAAAUCUCUUUAUUGUUUUGUGUUUUUUUUGGUGAGGAUGCUUUGCCCUGAGCUAGCAUCUAUUGCCAAUCUUCCUCUAUUUUGUAUACGGGAUGCUGCCACAGCAUGGCUUGAUGAGCAGUGUGUAGGUCCGUGCCCAGGAUCUGUACCCACAAAUCCUGGGCCACUGAAGCAGAGCGUGCAAACUUAACCACAAUACCACCAGGGUCCCCUGGCUUUUUUCGCAUAGCGUUAUGUUCCCAAGGUUCAUCCAUAUUGUAGCACGUGUCAGAACUUCACUUCUUUAUAUGGCCGAAUAACACUCACGUUUUAUUUAUCCCUUUGUCACUUGAUAGACAUUUGGGUUGAUGAUAUUUUGGGCUAUUAUAAUAAUGCAGCUAUGAACAUUCAUGUGUGAGUUUUUGUGUGGCCGUCCAUUUUCAUUUCUCUUGAGUAUAUACCCAGGAGUGGAAUUGCUGGGUCAUAGGGCGACUCCAUUUUAACAUUUUGAGGAAGUGCCAGAGGCACGUUUUAUACUGUGUUUUUCAGCUUUGUAGGAUGGACUGAAAGUAGAGAAAAUACUGUGAGGAGCACCCCGUAGCCAUCAUCCAGGCUCAGCGAUGAUCGCCCUUCUUCUGGGCUUGUUUCACCCCCUCCCCUUCUCCACCGUUGUUACCCACUGAGUAGUUUGAAGCCGCUUCAAACCCUGCCCGUCUUGUUCGCUUGGCUCAGAGGUCAACUUUUGCUUUUGUUCCAAGUCGUCUACACCCAUAUUCUUGGGCAGAUGGAGUUUGGGGAGAAUGGAGGAGUUGGGGCAGAGUCGAGAGUGGGUCAGUGUGGGGUGGGAAAGGAAUAGCUCCUGAGUGAUGCAGGACGGGCUGUGUAAUUUACAAAAUGAAAAUACGGAGCCCUUUGUUCAGAAAUUAUCGAGAAGUGCAAGAUGACGACAGCAGAGCAGUAUACCAAACCUGGGCCCUGUGCACGGCCCAGGUCUCGUGCCCAUGAGGCCCGGCCAAAGGGUGCCCUAGCAGCACGGAUGUGUUGGACACAGGAAUGUAGAGCCGUGGGCAUCUGGGAGAGACAAGGACCCCUUACCCCCAAUCCCUGGAAACGUUCCAAGGAAAGUUUGGGUCUCCCAUGGCACUCGGGACAGGGUUCAAGCCCGUUUCAUUUGAAUCUCUAAAAAUAAGAUGACCCCAGCUGACAUGUGGGUUGUAAGUACUUUUAAAAAAUAGCCACUUGUCUUACUAAGCCUUCUUCCCUAAGAGCCUGCAGUUGUUUUAUUUGGCCACACCAUUUUGUCCUGGGCUCUGAGCGUGCUCGGGUGUCACAGCGAAUGACAGGCUGCGGUCUGCAGAACAGAGGGCUGCUGGUUAGCAACCAACGCGCAGCAGGGAUGCCCAGGAGAGGCAGGUGGCCCUGGCACAUCUUGGCAACCAGUGUGGCACCCAGCCCCUCCCAGACAGAGCUCCACUAGCCUUCUCCAAGGAUGGUCUCCACCAACCAGAGGAACCUUAGUUCCUGCGCUUAUCUAGACUCUCCACCCAAGAAUCCACCCAGAGACUCAGAGCCCACAGUGUGUUGGAAUGGCACCCAAGGAUGUACUUGCACUAACAGAACCUCGUCAUGAAGGGGUGUGCAACUCGACUGGGAAGGACGGGCGGGGACUCAGUGAGGAAGGCACAGACGAGGAUUUGCACUCCCCCCUGUUCUCCGCGGGGUUCUCAAUGAGUGAAGGAAUGUUCAUUCAUUCAUUCCGUUAUUUGAAUGCCUAUGGUACACGACGGGGCUGUAUGCCGGCCAUGAUCAAUACAGUAACCGACGAGACAGACCCAGUUCCUACUCUUAAGGCCGGGAGAGGCAAUCAUAAACCAAACAUGAACAACAAAACAUUUUAAAUUUGAUUAAAAUAAUGUAAUGAUUGCUAAAAACAACCACAGCCACAGGUCUGAGUAAACCUGCUCGCAGCUUCCGGGUUUGUAGACAGCCAGCGUGGAUCUCAAAGCAAAGCCCAAUUUAGGACUGAGGUCGGUCUCAGCAGUGAGCUUAGAAGCAGCAAAGCCAGGAGAAGGCUCCAGAGGAGCGACUUCCCAGUGUUCUUCCAAAAGGUUGUAUCAUUCACACGCCCAUCAACAGUGUACGUGCUGUUUCCAGCACCCUCGCCCAACCUGGCAAGGACGCGGUGUGUCAGGGGAAGCAAAUCCUAAAUGAGCUGCGGAGAAACCUGCCAGUAAUUUCAGCAAAUGAAACGUGGGCCGCAGAAAGGCCAGAGGAUGGAAGAUGCUCCGGUUUUGACAAAAGGAGGUCUGCUCAGCUUGGAAUCCUCUCUCCUGUGAGUCAGGAGAUGGAAAGCUAUAUCCAGAGGGGCUGAUGAAUUGAGAGAAAAAGAAACGAGGCCAGUCCCCUGACUCAGCAGUGACACAUGAAUGAUGCUCCAUAAGUAGUCAUCCCAUGGACCAACCAAUGCCACCGUCACCUCCGACCCGGCCUCCAGCCGAAAUCACAGAAACCCUUUAUAGCCACCCUGACACCCAGUUCCCAUUUCAGACAGGCUGGUAUCCAUGAUGUCACGUGAUAGAAGAUGAUUCCAGAAAAAGACUGGUCAAGAGGCUCCUGGAGGGAGAGAUGGCAGCCAGGAUUGAGAGGUUUUUUUCUUUAUUAUACCUGUUCUGUCCACUAUUUCUUGGCUCUGUUCACAUUGCUGCUCUAGUACCAGCUCAGGGAAAAAACGAAACAAAACAUGAGCCCCAGAAUUUGAGACAAGAUAGCUGGUUGGUUUCCUCUCUGCUUGUAAUUUAAUGCUGGAAAUGUUCAUGACUUGCCUUGGCCGCAAAGGUAAUAAUAAAAGUCUGCAGCCUGAUUAUUUGGCUACUAAUUCCCUUCUUGGUGUUUUUCUUCCCCUUUCCUUAAAUUACUUCCAGAGUUCGUCCAGAUUUCUCGUUGCUAAGCUGUAAAGUUCCGGGCUUCGCAGCGCCCAUGCUGAUUGGCAGGGAGGCCCGGUCAGCUCCAAUCAGAAGCAGGUCGCCGAAAGGAGCAUCCACAACGCAGCUCGCCCCGGGGUUUUGGAAUUUUCUCGCUGACGUUAUGAACCGCAGAGGUCUUUGUCUAACUCUGCAAAACCUGUUCUCUUGAUCUUGUCUGCCUCUCUCUGGAGCGCAGGCUGUUGGGGGACGCCAGAGGUCCUGGAAUUUCCCCCGGAAGGAUGGGGAGUCCCUGGCUCACCGGUUUGGGCUCAGCGACAGAGAUGCCAGGGCCUGCUCGUGGUGGACCAUAGCCAACAGCGUGACGCUCUGCCACAGGCCGGUGAGAUGCCUCAGGCCCCCCAAAACUGACCUCUCCUCUCCCAGGCCAUCUUCUAAGCUUGGUGACUGGAGGAGGCUGAGGCAAAGGGGAUGCCACUGAAAGUGGGAUGGUUGGGGUGGAGACCACGUUUGUAAAGGACGUUAAAACACACAUGGAUGGUAGGGGCACGGUGGAGGGCCAUUCUGUGUUCCACCUCUAGAACCCCAAUGCAAAGAACCACUAUGAACUGAAACUUAUUUUUUAGACCACUCUAUUGAGGUACGACUGACUUACAAAAAGCUGUAUGUAUUUAGUGUCUACUACUUGAUGAGUUUGACAAUGAGUAGACACCCAGGAAACCAUCACCACGAUCUAUGCCAUAAACAUAGCCAUCACCUCCAGGAGUUUUCACCUGCCAUCUUUAUGAUUUUUAUUUUUGAUGAUAAGAACAUUUCACAUAAGAUCUACCCUUUUAACCAAAUGAGUAUAUGAUGCAGUGUUGUUAAUUAUCAUCACCAUGCUGAGUGUUAGAUCUCCAGCACUUAUUCAUCGGGUAUAAUUGAAACUUUGCACCCCUUGACCAAUAUCUCUGCCUUUCUCCCUCCUCCCAGCCCCUGGCAGUCCCCAUUCUACUCUCUGCUUCUACGAGUGUGACUAGUUUAGAUUCCUCAUAUAAAUGGACUCAUGUAGUAUUUGUCCUUCUGUGACUGGCUUAUUUCACUUAGCAUCAUGUCCUCCAGCUUCAGCCAUGUGUCCACGGAUGACACGAUUUCCUUCUUUUCUAAGACUGAGUAGUAUUUCAUUGUGUGUAUAAACCACAUUUUCUUUAUCCAUUCAUCCACCGAUGGACACUUAGGUUGCUACCAUGUCUUGGCUAUUGUGCCAGAAAUUGUACACACACAUCUGCUCCCAUCUCAAAACACCCAUUGGACAGACUGAGAAUGUGAUGGGCGUCUGCUGGUUUUGCUGCUGCUGCUUCCCUCUUUCACUAACGGAGAAGGCCUGCCACAGGGCAAGUCAUGUGACCCAGGCCUGGUCACAGUGAUUGGCUCUGGGGUGGGCACAUGAACAAGCUGGGCCAAUCAGAAUCUUCCUUGAGACUUUACUACCAGAACUAUAGGAAAAGUCUCCCUUCCUGCCCCUGGAUUUGCUGAGCUGGCGACCACAAUGAACACACGUGGAAGGUGACUGAGGGAGAUAUGAAGUCCCUGCAACAAGGCUUGAGCCCCAGGUGCAGCCCAGCCUUAGGGGAAGUCAGAUCCACUCCCUGGAUUUUAGUUACAGGAACAGUAAGUGCUUUGUUUAAGCCAAUUUGCCUGUGUGUCUGUUGCUUCUAACUGGCAGAGUGUAAUACAGACAUGCACUUUCUCGUUGCCGUGCGUGGCUCUGGGUUAGGCAAUUUGCAUAUAGUCCCACACAGGGGCCUCCUUAUCACCUGGUGUGGUAUUCCACUUUGCAGAUGGGGAAACUGAGGCUCAGAAGGGUGACUGCCCAGAUAAUACUGCCAGUGUGUGUUCAGGCAUUCAAACCUGGGCCGUCUAAUUGCUGGAUUCCUUGGUGGCCCCUCAAAUUCAACUUGUCCAAAACUGAAUUCAAGAGCCUCCCCUCUAGGGUCCUUCCCUCCGGGGUCCCGCAUCCUAGGGGUAGCCCCUCCCACAAACUAGUGGUGCUAACCAGAAACCAGGUGUCACCCCUGAGCCCUCCGCGCCCCUCACUCCCACAUCCAAGCCUCACUAAGUCCUGCCUGUCGACCCCCUCCGCAGCCCCAGAAGCAGUUUACUUCUCUCCCUGUCCACCUCUCCACCCCUGCCCAGCUGCCCUCAUCUCUCAAAACUUUGACCUUCGAGAACUGCCUGCCACCUGGUCCUCGCAUGUCUAUUCUUACCCCUCUACUCCGAUAGGGCUCCCCUUGGCGACCAGAGGAGUUGUCUCAAAAUGCCAAGCUGACCUCAUUGCCUUGCUGGAGGAGGCUGGGUGAUGAUCUGAUGGAACACGUUUGCCUCCGGGGAUGUUCUGAGAAUCGUGCAACCCCUUGGUCCCACCCGAUAUUCAGGCACAAAGUCAGCAAGCCUGGGAGCUGGGGAGCACGCAGCUCCCUGCAUCCGCAGCUGUCCCAUCGUUUAUUCCACAAAGAGUUUCUAGUGCCUCACAGGCACUGUCCCCUCUGCUGGGGCUCCAGAGGUGACCAACAGCAACCUGAGCGAAACUCACAGUGUGCUCGCCGCGGACCGGGUCCUGCACUCCGCGCUUCUCGCCCAUCCACUCGCUUGCUCCUCCAGCAGCCCCACAAAGCAGUGACUGUUAUUAAUCCCAUUUUAUAGAUGAGAAGGAAAAGGUGCCAGUUCUCAUGAAGCUUAUAUGCUUGUGAGGGAGAUCGACAAAAACAAGUUACACACACACAUGCACACACGCAGGCAUGCACAGACGUGACAUAAUUCAGAAAGUGAUGGACCAAGGGUGAUUCUUGGACUCAGUCCAGAGGCUUCCAGAUGCCUCCUUCUCAACUUGUAGCCUGUAACCUGUGCCAGGCCCAGGGCAAGAGUAGAAAUGGAAAGCUACCUACUGUAGGUCUACAGAUUUAAAAGUCAUAAAUCAGGUACAGGCACCCAGCCCCAAAGUUCAAGUUCUGUCCUGAGCCCCCCCAGACAGCUGCUCCUGAGCACCCCCUUAGGUUUAGGGGUGCACACACUGGGAAGCCAGUCUGCUCUCAGCAGGGCAGGUCUAGAGGAGACCCCUGAGCAGGCUUUGGAAACGGCCCAGUGCUGCUGGGGCAGGGAAUCCUGGAGUCCCGGACUCUCUCCAUCCCUACCUGUCCUCUGCCUUACCUCCCAUACUGGGUUGGUGUCCCCCCAAAAUCGAUGUCCACACAGAACCUCGGAAUGUGACCUUACUUGGAAAUAGGGUCUUGGCAGAUGUCGUGAAGAUAAGAUGAGGUCAUUCGAGGUUAGCAUGGGCCCUAAAUCCAAUGACUGGUGUCCUCGUAAGAAGAGAAGACACAUGCAAGGAGAAGGCCAUGUGAAGAUGGUGGCAGCGAUUGGAGCGAUGCAGCUACAAGCCAAGGAACGCCAAGGAUUACAGGAAGCCACAGAAGCUGGAAGAGGCCAGGAAGGAUUGUCCCGUAGAGCCCUCGGAGGGAGCACAGCCCUGCUGACACCUUGGUCUGGACUUCUAGCCUCCAGAGCUGUGAGAGGCUAACUCUCUGUUGUUUUCUACACCAGGUUUGCGGUUGUUUGUCACGGCAGCCCCAGCAAACGACUGUACUUCCCUGGGCCCUCCCCACCCUGCCCUCCCCCACACCCAGUGUCAGGCUGCUGCAGGAAAAAACAUCACAAGCAGGUGGUCACAUUCCCCACCUCCUCACAAUUCACCUGGCCAACGUCAGAGCCGGAACACUCUUACAGGCCAUCUUUCCCAAGAAGAUCAGCUCCACCUUUGCCCAGGGCAGCUCUGGGGACAGGCUCUGGCUCCAAGGGGUAGGCCGGGUCCCUGAAGCAGGACCUCAGGGGAGGCAGGCUCUGGGGAGCCCCUCUCCGCUGUCCACCCUGGCAGGCGCCCAGGGGAAUGUGUGUCAACAGACUCUUGUGCUGCAACCACAUGUGGUUUGCUGCUUAGCUUUCCACUGGGAAGCUUGGCUGUGUUUGUCACAAUGGUUAGUGUUCGGUUACGUUUAACCAAGGCUGUGGAGGUAGGGAGUUAGAGUGAGCUGUAUAUAAUCUCUUGUGCACAAAGCCCACGGUAGAAUUGCCUGACCUUCCCUCCCUUCCCAAAUACACAUGACAAAAAGUAAACUGAGAAAGAGGUCAGGUCUCUUUAGAAAUCAGAGUGUUUGAACUCAAUAGCAAAGAGCUGCUGUUUAUUCUAAACUCCAUGAAAUGAGGUGACCUCUCAUCACCAGGUAAGUCAUUGGGACUAUAGGCUUUUUGAAUGCCAAAAGCCAUUCAUUCAUCCACCCAUCCACCCACCCACCCACUUAUCCAUCCAUCACACACCCACCUAUCCAUCCAUCCAUCCAUUUAUCCACCAUCCAUCCAUUCAUCCACCCACCUAUCCAUCUAUCCCAUCCAUCCGUCUAUCCACCAUCCAUCCAUCCAUCUAUCCACUAUCCAUCCAUUCAUCCACCAACGUAUCCAUCCUUCCAUCCAUCCAUCCAUCCACCAUCCAUCCAUUCAUCCACCAACCUAUCCAUCCAUCCAUCCAUCCAUCCAUCCAUCCAUCCAUCAAUCCUUCUGUCCAUCUAUCCAUCCAUCCAAUAUUUGAUAAGUUCCCAUUAUAGUUACUGUAAUGAUAUUAAUAACAGUGGUUCCUAUUCAGUGGCUACUUCCUAAGAGAUAGGCUGUGUACUAAGCACUUUGCAUGCAUCAUCUGUUUAAUUCUGACAAACAAUUCUAUAAAACAGAUGCCAACCCACCCAGUUCCCAGAGGGAAAAAGUGAGGCACAGAGAGUUUAGGUCACUGGCCUAAGACUUCAGAGCCUACUGUGGUAGAUUAAAUAUGACCAGAAGUUCCUUGCUGUUCUCCUGCCAAGGGGUGGAGUCUAUUUCUCCACUCCCCUAAAUCUAGGCUGGUCUCAUGACUUGCUUUGACUAAUAGAAUGUGCCAGAAGUAGUGUUGUGCAAGCUCCAAGCCCAGACCUCAAGGAGCCUGGCAGCUUCUGUCUUUGCUGACUUGGAAUGCUGACCGGAUGUUGGUCUCACCUAGUGGAAGAUGAGAGGCCUCAUGAAGGAGCACUGAGGCCACCCAGCCAACAGCCAGCUGCCACACAUAUGAGGAAAGCCAUCUGGACCUUCCAGCUGAGUGCGCCCAGGCAUGACCAGCAGAGGAAGCACUCAGCUAACCUAUGAAGUCAUGGAAAAUAAUAAAUUGUUGUUUUA